CUCAGUUCAAGUUUCAAAAAUGUAAACAUGAUGCACAGAUGAAGCUAGCCUAGAGCAUUACCAGAAGCUAGGGAUGUGACAGGAAACCCAUACUGAAGUUAUUGGCACUACUCUCGUCUGUUCCAAUCCUCUCUUUUUUAUGUUAUUGUGGGCUCAAGUUGUUUGCCUUUUUGGUAGUGGAAUUCUACAAUUUAUCUCGCAUUUAAAACACUUGGAGAGUGGAUUUGUCAUUGAACCUUAAACUCAAGGAGUAGAUAAGCUUAUUAACUAACCGCUGUAGUGUCAUGCUUAUUUUAUGAGCUCUGGUGAAGUGUGAAAAAUAUCGCUACUAUGAUCGUAGGCGAAAUAGAUUGUUGUCUUUGUCUAGUUUCUUAGUCUGGAGAUGUACCCGCUUACAGCCAAGGAUCACUUCAGAGUAAUAAAUAAGUAAAUCAUGCUGAUCUUAAGCAAGAUGCACUAUGAGUAAUGAAUCAUUCGGAUUAUGAGAUGCAGUUCAAUGAACACCCUUUUUAUGUGAGAAAAUGCACCGUCUGAUUUUUAAAGCUUAAACCUCAUGAGUAAGGAUGGUUGUGAUUUUAUUUCCACUUGUUCUACUUUUUUAUUGGGAAAUGACAUUGGAUAAAUUUUGCAACUGUUUUGAUGUGGUUGCUGCCAAUGUUUUGCCUUAAAGAUUGGUGAACAACAAAGCUAAACUGCUCAAGUAAUAUGAUCCAGGGGCAUGCCUCUGGGAUCCACUAGUGUAUCUAGUUUUUUAGCGGAAAGUGUAUGGAAGUGAUGCUCUCGUUGGUUGUCUUUGCUUUAGAAUCAUAUGGACAUGUGUUUAGAUAAGGCGAGUAACUAUUUUACUAUGUCUGAUUGGUAGUGGAUGAAUGUAGUACAGCGGUGACAUGCUUCAAGCACUAAUUGUUUUCUGUGUGAUAAUACACUAUCCAGUUUCCUGUUUCCAUCUCGUUGAUAGCACUGUUUUUUUCCGACUAUAAGCAACUUUCCUAGAUGUUUCACUAAUUUGCAAUUUAAUCAAAUAUGGUUUCUCCUAAAUAUGAUGUAUGGAGAUGAUAUGUUCUGCAUUGUGUGAGUAUUGGGCCUGAUUUGAUUCAACAUUUGCGCAUGCAGUACUUAUAUCAAGUCUAUUAAUCUCGGCCUUGGUUAAUUGUGUACAGAAGCAAGUCAGUGAACUGGAAAAUAGAAGCAUUUUAUUCUUAUAUCGGACAGCUGCAGUUGCAAACUUUGAAGAAAGAAAAUGUUCAUGAUAUUGUGAUUCUACAAACAUAUGGCCUUUUCUUUUGCAAUCUUGAAGGCCCGUUCAGGUUCAAUUUACAGUAAAGGCGAGAAAGCAUCCUGAAGGCAGACAUUCGUGUCUCUCAUUAGUGGAGUUGCUGGUAUCUGGGGAUUCACGGGUCCGAUGUGUUUUGUCUUCUACUUUCUGAUAAUGAUGGUAGCAUCUAUUGGGCUCUUGGCAAAGUCAAAGUUCUCAGUCCACUUGUACUUCGAUUGUUGGAGCAGGAGUUUGGUCAAAGGAGUUUUUGGCGGCCUUUGAUGUGAAGCACGACAGUGACGGUGGUGGGCCGCCUUUGCUUUGAGUGCCAAUGAGACGGCGGGGUUGUCGCCCCGUAACCUCAGCGUUGGCUCCUAUGACUGACUUGUUUACCACUACGUAGAUGUGAAGCAUGACAGUGACGGUGGUGGGCCGACUUGCUUCCAGCGCCAAUGACAUGGUGGGGCUGUCGCCCAGCAACCUCAGCGUUGGCUCCCACGACUGACUUGGUUACCACUACUUAGGAUGAUGUCGCUGCCACCUGGAAUUUGGUCACUUGCAUCUUUUCCAGCAAGUUUGACAACAAUGGGCUAUUCAUAGUAAUGCAAAUGCUACAUCUUAUCCUUUAAUACUCACGGUGCUUUAUUUAAGAUGUGAAGCUUGACAGUGACAAUGGUGCGCCGCCUUUCUUCUGGCGCCGACGAGACGGUGGGGUUGAAACCCCGUAACCUCGGCGUCGCCUCCCCACUAUUGUCUCAUCUACUUACACGAGUCCCUGGUCUCCCCUUUCUCCUACGUCUGCUAUGCGCUGGCUGUCAAGUCGAUGAUCUAGUGCCUUUGAUCUGGCGCAUGGUUGCCAUGUUGAGGCUUACCGAUUUGUUCUCUAUUACUGAUCAUGGCUUGGGUUUGUGGAUGACUAGGCUCUGUUUAACAACUGGAUGUCAUGGUUAUUAUCUAUGUUGAUGCCAGAAUGUGGGGCAGUUGUUCACUUUGGCUUGCCAAAUAAUCUUAGAUAUCUCAACAGUGCUAUUCUGCUCAUGCCUCAUCAUGCUACUGUUUGAUAAGAAUCAAUCUUGGGCAAGAACAAUAACAUCAUGUCCGUUGCUUGGUUGUGGUUUAUGUAUUUAUAUUUUAGUCAUAGAUGUGCUAUAUGGUUUUCUGAGAUACCUAUGGCAUGGUUGAUAGAUAUAGAUCGUAAUAGACAGUAUCUUAGCAUCUGCUGGUGUUAACAUAUACAAAUAUCUUUAGCUUAGUAUCUGCUGGUAUUCCAUGGUUUUUCCAUAGAUUUUUUGCUAUGGUGCGGGGCGAGCGACAAUGACAACUUAGUGUCAUAAUAUGGCCCAUUGCUUGGUGUUGCUGCCAUAGAGAUAGAUGAUGAUAGUGUCGUUACCUCCAAAAGUUUAAAUCUGAGCCUGUUGUUCUGGGUUUGCUGCUGAAUGUGGUGUUGUUCUGGUGGUGUGGAUCAGUUCCGGUUAGUUGCCUGAUGGGUUAUUGUUUUGUUGGGUGCUAGAUCUUACCUCGUUUUGUAUUUAAGUACUGUCUUUUUGAAACUCAAGGUCCUUCUUGCUCCUCUGCAGGCCAGGCCACUACAGGAGAGGUGCAUCGAUGACCCGACACUAUUCAGACUCACUUGAAGAAGGACGGACUGGUGAACACCCAUUGUUGGUGAUGAGUACCAGAUUAGAUUCAUCAGCUUUCUUAGCUUGUCGUGUUAUUGGGUUGGCAGCAUAUGAUGGCCUGGUUGCUGCUUCCUUGGAGCAGUCCAGCGGCCACAACAUUGGUGCCAUGGACGCCACAUGGACUUGGGCCAUGACAACUGUGUCGUCCGUGUCUACGCCUGCGCAACUGCCUGCCUUCGUUCUGGCCAGGGGACUAUAUAAGAGAGAUGCGUCGAUGACCCAUGACUACUCAGACUCGCUUGAUGAAGGAUGAUGUGGUGAACCCCCAUCGUCAGUGAUGUGUAACCAGAUUAGAUGCACCGGUUAACUUGUGUUAGCUUCGUUUUUCCGAGAAAGGUUUGGCAGGAUGAUUUGGACUUUACCCAGUACAUUACUGAAUGAAUUGAAAAGUGUCAUUCCUUUUCAUCUGGAGUGCAUGAAGGGAUCAUCCUGAUUUGCUUGUGUUGGCAAG
This is a long non-coding RNA of Triticum dicoccoides, 3385 nucleotides long. RefSeq lists it as uncharacterized. Lineage: Eukaryota; Viridiplantae; Streptophyta; Magnoliopsida; Poales; Poaceae. The record is from RefSeq and is a predicted model, not a curated record. The transcript has 7 exons.